This 314-nucleotide ribosomal RNA is filed under the name uncultured bacterium. Its description in RNAcentral is "bacterial SSU rRNA". It matches the Rfam family "Bacterial small subunit ribosomal RNA", at positions 28 to 334 of the family's 1533-position model. The record is from RNAcentral.
GAUGAACGCUAGCGACAGGCCUAACACAUGCAAGUCGAGGGGCAUCAUGAUCCGUAGCAAUACGGGUUGAUGGCGACCGGCGCACGGGUGAGUAACGCGUAUGUAAUCUGCCUGUAACAGAGGGAUAACCCGGAGAAAUCCGGACUAAUACCUCAUAAUACACAGGAUUCGCAUGAGUUCUAUGUUAAAGGGAAUCGGUUACAGAUGAACAUGCGUUCCAUUAGUUGGUUGGCGGGGUAACGGCCCACCAAGGCUACGAUGGAUAGGGGUUCUGAGAGGAAGGUCCCCCACACUGGUACUGAGACACGGACCAG